RNAcentral lists this long non-coding RNA (4289 nucleotides) under Oreochromis niloticus (Nile tilapia). RNAcentral describes it as "lncRNA (ENSONIG00000025896.2)". Lineage: Eukaryota; Metazoa; Chordata; Actinopteri; Cichliformes; Cichlidae. The record is from RNAcentral.
AUGCUGCUCUCUGUGUCCUGCAGUGGGAACAGGAAGAUCACAGUCAGAGGGUCCCACCUGAAGUUUGUUGAAGGCAUUGUACACAGCCAUGCCAUGCAGGAAGUCGCACUUCCUAAAAACAGCAGCUAUCAGAGUCUCACCUAUGACUCACCUUCAGCUGAAAACAGUCCUGGGAUUUCUAGCAGCACUGUGUUUUUGAAAGUAGCUAAUCAAACCUUGGCCUGCUCCACAAACAUGUCCUACUAUCCAGACCCUGAGUUUAUCAGCUUCACAGCCACAAGAACAGGAAACAGUGUUUGCAUCACUAUACGGAAAAAGGCAGACAAACUGGAGAUGACAACAACAGAAUUAUCAGUGUGGGGCGUUCAAGACAGUAAGGAAUACUGCUGCAUCAUGGAAACAAACAAAACCAGUGAUGAGACUCACUCUUUCACUUGUGAGGUUAAAAACCCACCCGACGUGGAAUUUCAGCUGUUGUUGGUAAAUGUUUCUUUCAUACUAACACAAGGCACUGUUUAUGGACAGACAAACAUACCUAUCCGGUCUUUAAGUCUGGCAUGAUUAGCCAUUUCUGGGUCCAAACUCCGCUUCAGUCAAACAAACACUGCAGCAUCACCGAGAGUUAAAAACUGUCUAAAUUCUUUCAUCGUUACUAAAAUGAUCAGUGUUGCUGCUUUACCAGGUGUAAAAAUUAAGUUUAACAUCCAGGCAUCCAUAAAAACUAUUUAUGAAAUUUAACAGAGUUAGAUGUUAGCAGGAGGUUAGCUCACUAGUUUCCAUCUAAUUAUGGUAUGUUCUGACUGAGAGAUUUCUGAAAAAAUAAAGACAUACAGCUCUGCUAUCACUUCCAACAUAAAUGAAGACAGAAAGUAAACAGUGGUGACAUUUGGAGGCUUACUGAAGUUGGACAAGCUGGUAUACAGUGAUGUGCUACGUGAUCGUUAGCGACAUAGCUAUGUUAGCAUAACACAGACCUUUCCAAAGUGUGGGGCCCGCCCCCCGAGCCAUCGCAGGAGGGGCGUGGUAUGAAAAGGGGAAAAAAAAGAAGCAGCAUUCAGCAUAGCUGAAUAUGUUUCCAAACCAACUUCAUUCUAAGCCAAAGACUAGAAAAUAUGGUGAAGCAUAGUGCCAAGGUAGGUCUCCCCUGCAUAAUUGCUUUUCCCUUCGUCGGGAGCAGCGUUGGGCUCUUCAAAUCACGGACAAACAGUAUCCCACAUUCUUGAUUUUUAGUCAUUACAACAAGUGUUUGUGAACUAAAAAUCAAGAAUGUGGGAUACUGUCUGUCUGUGAUUUGAACCGGGAGAACAAAUUGUGGCAGGAUCAGCCUGAUAUUAUUUGUAUCCCACUGUAACUUUACUGUAUAAAGAGCUAACAUCUCCAAAAUGUCAGGAGUAGUUAGUCAUUACAACAAGUGUUUGUGAACUAACUACUCCUGACAUUUUGGAGAUGUUAGCUCUUUAUACAGUAAAGUUACAGUGGGAUACAAAUAAUAUCAGGCUGAUCCUGCCACAAUUUGUUCUCCCGGUUCAAAUCACAGACAGACAGUAUCCCACAGCUUUUUAUGUUUUUAAACCCAUUUUGCACAGAGAGGCAUUUUUGGAAAAAUGUAUUGAUAGCAAUGUUGAAUAUUAUUACAUGUAAAAUAAUUACACCGUGAUGCCUGUGGCUUUCUAAAUAGAGGGACAGUAACUGCAUGUGUAUACGUAAGCAUGUAAAACCUGAAGAUAGAGACAGAAUACUGUUAAUCUUACUAUCUGCCAUUCUGCAGUUCAUCUCAUGUAAACAAUAACGUGGCGCACAGCAUGACGUGAAAAAAGGCACAUACCUUUGACGUUGUGUGACGAACUCUGUAUUCCUCGUCCACACGUAAACGCAAAAAAGGAGUUUUAAAAAAUCUCAGUUUUCGGUGAUUCGAAACGCCGUUUACGUGUGGAUGAAACAGCUGCGUUUUCAAACCUACCCGUGUAGGUGCGGACGUAGCAUAAAAGAAUUUUCUUACUACCUGUAAUUUAUUGCAGAUUACUUGUAUUUGCUUAAUUGUUUACUAAAUGUUUGAGGUGUGAAAUAAACCGCAAUGGAGCAAAAUAUGGGUGUGUGUGGUUGGAGGAUGUGUUUGUGCGUGCGUGUGCGCGGGGGGGGGGGGGGGGGGGGGACAUUUUUCUUGUCAAAGGGGUCCCAGCAAAAAAAGUUUGGGAACCACUGGCAUAACACAAACACAUUAGCACAGUGAAGCUGGAGGAUGAACGCUAACUUUUUUCCACUCGAUAAAAGUUAACGUGAGGGUUCCCGAUGGUUAGGGACAAAUGCAAUCGCAUGGCAGGAUGCUGUAAACGGACCAAACUUAAGUCAGAAGAACAACUGAGAUAAUCCAUCCAAAAUACGAGGUUAGUCAUUAAUGUACUGCUGCAUGGGCUGGGCUGUAGUUACAUGGUAACGUUUUGAAAACUGACCUUUAAAAUAAAUAGUGGUAACAAAAACCGAGAGGCCGACAGUGAUCACUGACUGUUUUUAGGGGCUUGUUCAGAUUAAGUAGAACAAGAUACAAAGCAUUACAACACUUUAAAAACACAACAGUCUUAAUAAACAUGGAGUAGUUUGGACCCCGAAGCAGGGUUCAUACGUCAUCACUUAAAGACCGGAUCAUUGUGAUAAGAGCUCCAAAUUACAGUGUGCUGUGAAACAAAGUCCACAGUGCAGUACUCUGCUAAUGGUUUAGGCACUGAAAUUAUAUCUUUCAGAUAUAAUAUCAAGUGAUUAGGUUCAAAGACAAAUAAUGCUAUAAAUAUUCUUAUUCACUGAGCUUCACGCAAAGCACAAUCAAUCAGAAUGGAUCCAUGAUGUAACUGCUUUUUGCUUUUAACAUAACGUCAACUAUCCUUGUACAACUUUAUUUACAGCCUGUUUCAUAUUAUGAUAUUUACUGUAUGAAUAAUAUUUUGAAAAUCUCCGACCUGCUGCUCUAUUGACACUUUCCUUAAUGUUUUCUAGAUAAAGUAUGGUAACAGGACCGUAAGCCUCAGUAAGCCUCGGCCUUCAUCACAUCUUCUAUUGCUGCUUUUGCUGUUGAUACCCUGUGUUAUUGCUGGUACGUGAUUUUGAUACAUCAGCUUUUUAUUUUAUGACUAAGAUUUUUUUUCUUAGUUUCAGUGUCGCUGUUCGCAUACAUUGUACCAGAAAUACUUUGUAGAGCCGACACUAAUGCUAGCGUUAUAGUUAGUUUAGCUGUUAGCUAUAGAGUCCUUUUAGGGAAUCAGGCUCCAGAGGAACAAUGGCCUUUCAAUGGUUUAUUUUGCAUAGUCAGUUAAGUGUGUCUGAUACAUGGUUGAUUGUCCUUAACUGCUUGUUAAAAGUCCUAAACAAAAGAGCUAUACAAAUAAUAAUUAACCUCCUUGGCACAAGCUAUCAGUCCUUUGAAACUGGGCUUUCUAACAUGCUAUAUAGCCUUUUUUAAAGCUACGUUCACACGUCACAAGUCUCCAAAGUGGUUAGUGAGACAAAUUUUAUUUGUUUUUAUGCCAUUUGAAGCCCCAUUUGUGUCUACUCCCACAAUGAAACCAAGGAUCUUUUGUUUAUUAGGCAAGUGUGUAAACCCCUACACUAUAGAGCCACAGACUGAUGAAAACGUUUUCUACUCCACUUUAGUGACAACUCUCUAGUUUUCUGCUUGAUUUAAAUUAGUUACCGUUUGUCUUUCAGUGCUGGUGUUUAUGUAUCUGUGGAGGAAGAGACGUGCCACAGAAAUAACAUUUAAAGUUUCUUUCCGGUCUCUGCUGGCUGACUGACAAUCUUCACGGAGUUGCUGUACUAAAAGUUGAUUUUUCCAGUUGUUAUAUAAUUUUUUGUAUUUUCAUAUAUUUUUCAUUAGUCAUAUAAACAUAAAACUAAUUAAGGCUUUUCUUGAAAUGUUGAAUUAUUUUGUUCAAGCAGUAUCCCAUUAAAGAUUUUUCUGAUAUCUACUUUUGUGAUAGUUCUCUGACUAAACCAAUUGUUGGGAUUGUAUAUUUAAGACAUUAUAAUGUCAUGUUAUAUUUAACAUUUCCUAGAUUUCUUACAUUGUAUGUUAAACCUUUUGCAUGUUUAGAACAAUAAGAGUCAUUGUAAUAGAUAGUAUGCUACUUCUCUUUCUCUUAAGUGAAAGUGACAUAUGUACUUUUUGGCUCUAAAGCCAUAUAAAGCAUUUCUACAUGCUAUCUAUCUAUUUGGAGAUUGAUGGAGUACUGGAUUGGGCUCCUUUUUGGCCUCAGAACUGCUUUAAUUCUUCAUGAUACAGAUUAAACAAGAUGCUGGAA